CCGACUCGGUACUAAAGAGCUCUCCAUGGCUUACUUCAAAAGAAAAGCAUAUCUAACUAUCGCAUGUAUCGGUUGAGCUGCCCGGUACUAAAAUGCUUUGCAUUUACCGAACUAUAGUGAUACCGGUUCCCCGACCGGUACUAGAAGUCGAUCGUCCAGCGGUGAAAUCUGUAACUUCAGUAAGCGAAGCAGCGAUCCAUAACAUCUUGCUAUCCCCCCCUGGAAUCAUCUGUCUUGAAAACGUAGCUCAGGUUACUCCACAUGAGGUCUGUCCCGUUUAGAUUUCUUCGACCUUCUUGCCGUUUGUGCUAGAGACAUACCAGUAGAGAUCCUGACCAAUACCACACGGUCGCGUCCAGCCCACUCCAUCAUCCCUUCUGUUCCAACGCUCAGUUAUCUUUCUGUCAUGGAGAUUGUACGCGACAACUCCCUUGUAGCGCCCGUAGACGGUGUUCGAGCGUAUCGACGGGAACACGCCGGUGGAAAAGGGCAGUGCUCGUACCUUGCCGACG
RNAcentral lists this long non-coding RNA (512 nucleotides) under Setaria italica (foxtail millet). RNAcentral's name for it is "long non-coding RNA (SITA_LNC006453)". Lineage: Eukaryota; Viridiplantae; Streptophyta; Magnoliopsida; Poales; Poaceae. The record is from RNAcentral.